This 491-nucleotide ribosomal RNA is filed under the name uncultured bacterium. Its description in RNAcentral is "partial 16S ribosomal RNA". It matches the Rfam family "Bacterial small subunit ribosomal RNA", at positions 29 to 506 of the family's 1533-position model. The record is from RNAcentral.
AGUGAACGCUGGCGGUAGGCCUAACACAUGCAAGUCGAACGGCAGCACAGUAAGAGCUUGCUCUUACGGGUGGCGAGUGGCGGACGGGUGAGGAAUACAUCGGAAUCUACUUUUUCGUGGGGGAUAACGUAGGGAAACUUACGCUAAUACCGCAUACGACCUACGGGUGAAAGCAGGGGAUCUUCGGACCUUGCGCGAUUGAAUGAGCCGAUGUCGGAUUAGCUAGUUGGCGGGGUAAAGGCCCACCAAGGCGACGAUCCGUAGCUGGUCUGAGAGGAUGAUCAGCCACACUGGAACUGAGACACGGUCCGGACUCCGACGGGAGGCAGCAGUGGGGAAUAUUGGACAAUGGGCGCAAGCCUGAUCCAGCCAUACCGCGUGGGUGAAGAAGGCCUUCGGGUUGUAAAGCCCUUUUGUUGGGAAAGAAAAGCAGCAGGUUAAUACCCCGCUGUUCUGACGGUACCCAAAGAAUAAGCACCGGCUAACUUCGU